This 448-nucleotide ribosomal RNA is filed under the name uncultured Acetobacteraceae bacterium. RNAcentral's name for it is "bacterial SSU rRNA". It matches the Rfam family "Bacterial small subunit ribosomal RNA", at positions 157 to 638 of the family's 1533-position model. Lineage: Bacteria; Pseudomonadati; Pseudomonadota; Alphaproteobacteria; Acetobacterales; Acetobacteraceae. The record is from RNAcentral.
CUACGGCUAAUACCGCAUGAUACCUGAGGGUCAAGGCGCAAGUCGCCUGACGAGGAGCCUGCGUCUGAUUAGCUAGUUGGUGGGGUAAAGGCCUACCAAGGCGACGAUCAGUAGCUGGUCUGAGAGGAUGAUCAGCCACAUUGGGACUGAGACACGGCCCAAACUCCUACGGGAGGCAGCAGUAGGGAAUAUUGGACAAUGGGGGAAACCCUGAUCCAGCAAUGCCGCGUGUGUGAAGAAUGUCUUCGGAUUGUAAAGCACUUUUGGCAGGGACGAUGAUGACGGUACCUGCAGAAUAAGCCCCGGCUAACUUCGUGCCAGCAGCCGCGGUAAUACGAAGGGGGCUAGCGUUGCUCGGAAUGACUGGGCGUAAAGGGCGCGUAGGCGGCUGUCACAGUCAGAAGUGAAAUUCCUGGGCUCAACCUGGGGACUGCUUUUGAUACGUGGC